Molecule: ribosomal RNA, 253 nt
Filed under: uncultured Dysgonomonas sp.
Lineage: Bacteria; Pseudomonadati; Bacteroidota; Bacteroidia; Bacteroidales; Dysgonomonadaceae
Description: partial 16S ribosomal RNA
Rfam family: Bacterial small subunit ribosomal RNA
Source: RNAcentral
UACGGAGGAUGCGAGCGUUAUCCGGAUUUAUUGGGUUUAAAGGGUGCGUAGGCGGAUAUGUAAGUCAGCGGUGAAAUCUCCAGGCUCAACCUGGAACCUGCCGUUGAAACUGCAUAUCUUGAGUAUGGAUGAAGUAGGCGGAAUUCGUUGUGUAGCGGUGAAAUGCAUAGAUAUAACGAGGAACUCCGAUUGCGUAGGCAGCUUACUAAGCCAUAACUGACGCUCAUGCACGAAAGCGUGGGGAUCAAACAGG